UCUUCCAGUGCGAUGCCAGUAGCACCCUCAACUGUGAAAAUAAAAAAUGUCUCCAGACAUCGCCACUUGUUUCCUGAGGGCUAAAUUACCAGUUGUUGUAAACUACUGUUUUACAUACUUUUUGGUUUUUUAAUCUCUAAAGAGAGGAGUUGUGAAAAGAUGUGUCUUUUCCAGCUCUGAUAUUCUCUGACCUGUCCAGCUAUGCUCACAAAAUUGAUGAGAAACUCUAUCUGUUCUUAUCAGAUGCAGAUAAGAAACGUGGGAAGCCACAAGAAAGCCAAGUAGCCUGGGAAAAAGUGGUCAUUGAGCCAUGAGAAAAAAUUAACAUUUGAUCCUGUUGGUGCCACCUGAAGGCAGAGAUGGCUGAGGACCCCCGAGUAAUGUAUGAAUGAAAGACUUAAGAAUACAUCUGACCCAGGCAGCCUGGGUUCAACUCUCCAUGUGAGAAUACCAAGCUUGGCUGGGCACAGUGCCUCACAUCUGUAAUCCCAACACUUUGAGAGGCUGCGGCAGGAAGAUUACUUGAAGCCAAGAGCUGGCGAACAACCUGGGCAACAAAGUGAGACUUCAUCUCUACAAUUUUUUUUUUAAUUAGCCGGAUGCAGUGGUGCACACCUGUAGUCUCAGCUUCUCAGGAGGCUGAAGUAGGAUUGCUUGAGCCUGUGAGCCCAGAAGUUUGAGACGGCAGUGAGUUACGAUCACACCACUGCAUUAGAGCCUGAAUGGCAGAGUGAGAGCCUAUCUCUAAACUAAGUAAACAAAUACAGACAUACAUACAUAAAGUAAGAAUUAUUAUAAUAACAAGAAUACAAGCAGUCUGCAAUUUGUGUUUAUGGUGCUAACUGCAACUCAUGUAUGUGGUACCCUCAUUUUUCACAA
RNAcentral lists this long non-coding RNA (879 nucleotides) under Homo sapiens (human). RNAcentral describes it as "long independently transcribed non-coding RNA 2392 (LINC02392)". The record is from RNAcentral. Lineage: Eukaryota; Metazoa; Chordata; Mammalia; Primates; Hominidae.